UCUCCGUUGGUGAACCAGCGGAGGGAUCAUUACAGAGCUGCAAAACUCCCAGACCAUUGUGAACGUUACCUAUCCCAUUGCUUCGGCGGGCGGCCCGGGCCCCGCGCCCGGCGCCCCCCGGCCCCCCGUGGGCGCCCGCCGGAGGUAAACCAAACCCUUGAAUUGCAUGGCCUCUCUGAGUCUUCUGUACUGAAUAAGUCAAAACUUUCAACAACGGAUCUCUUGGUUCUG
Molecule: unclassified non-coding RNA, 231 nt
Filed under: plant metagenome
Description: partial contains small subunit ribosomal RNA, internal transcribed spacer 1, and 5.8S ribosomal RNA
Source: RNAcentral